GGGGAAUAACAAUUGAAAACUUCUUAACAUAGCCUUAAUUUCAGUAUAUAAUACUAAGGAUUAGCUAUGAAAGUAAUUAAUAGAUGUAGAUUGGUCAUAUGUAAAAAACAAUAUAGGAUUAGCCUUUAAUAUUCUCUUGUUCUGUUUGGCUAAGAAUUCAUGACAAAUUUAAGGAAUCAAAUGAGGUUCAUCAUACAGAUUAUGCAAAAGAUAGGGAUUACUUAAACGUAUGCGAAUGAAACAUUAUAAAAUUCUGCUUGAAAACACGAAUAAUUGUAAAAUGUGUUUAGCUCUUGAGGAUACCCAGAGUAUGUCUUCAGCUCAUGAUCAAUCAUAUAUAAGUUCAUGAUCAAUCAUAUAUAAGCUCAUGAUCACAUACGACGUUCAUGGUACAAAUCCAUGCAUUCAAAUACUAAUUGAUAGGGGUAUAUCAUGAAUCGGAUGCUAUCAAUAUGGAAGAAAUCACUUUCACUAUUAAAACUUUUCAUUUUUACCUCAAUCUUUAUUUUUAUAGAAUGACAUUCCAAAAUGCAAAGGAAAAACGACCAGUAAAGAAAUCAUGGUAAAACUUUUCAAUUAUUAUCAGAAAAUAGAAUAAGGAUCCAAAUUCCUAUCAAAUGUGCCAAUAAAAAUUACCAAUGGGGACAUCAAUCUUUUACAAUUCUUCUUGAUUUCAUGCUGUGAACCAAAUGUUGUUUUUUAGAUAAUUUUUUUCUUUCAUAUUGAUAGCAUCCGAUUUGAAAUAAAAAACAACUUCAAUGCAACAAAACAUUGUACAAUACGUACCUAGAAUAGAAGAGAAAAGCAUUGGAAGAUGAAGCCACUGGAAGUUUAAAAAAACCCAAACAAAAAAGAGAAAACAGAAAUGAAUUACCUGUUAAGAUGAAGUCACCGGAAGUCGACGAAAAGAUGAAGCCACCGGAGGUCGCGGUCGCCGAUGCUGGAAGGGAUUAGGAAGGAGAAAUCGGAAAAACGGGAUUGGGUUGGGAGAAAUCAAAAAUCGGGAGGGAAGGAGUUUAGGGAUUUAAAUUUUUUUGGGUUUAAAUGUUUAAUUUAGGGGUUUGGGAU
Molecule: long non-coding RNA, 1068 nt
Filed under: Zostera marina
Lineage: Eukaryota; Viridiplantae; Streptophyta; Magnoliopsida; Alismatales; Zosteraceae
Description: long non-coding RNA (ZMAR_LNC003285)
Source: RNAcentral